GGCAGCCUAGUGCUUACCACAGGCUGUGUUCUUACACUGACUGUAAAGAAAGAUGAAGUAAAAUAAACCAACCUCAUAUACACCCCAGCCCAGGCCCUGUGCCUGGUGUGUAUUGUGAAUGGGGCAUACAGAG
Molecule: small nucleolar RNA, 133 nt
Filed under: Microcebus murinus (gray mouse lemur)
Lineage: Eukaryota; Metazoa; Chordata; Mammalia; Primates; Cheirogaleidae
Description: Small nucleolar RNA SNORA51 (ENSMICG00000031306.2)
Rfam family: Small nucleolar RNA SNORA51
About the family: ACA51 is a member of the H/ACA class of snoRNA that guide the sites of modification of uridines to pseudouridines.
Source: Rfam by way of RNAcentral